AUACGGAGGAUCCGAGCGUUAUCCGGAUUUAUUGGGUUUAAAGGGUGCGCAGGCGGCCAUUUAAGUCAGCGGUUAAAUCGUGGGGCUCAACCCCAUUCUGCCGUUGAUACUGGGUGGCUUGAUUGCGGUCGAGGUUGGCGGAAUUCGUUGUGUAGCGGUGAAAUGCAUAGAUAUGACGAAGAACACCGAUUGCGUAGGCAGCUGACCAGACCGCAAAUGACGCUCAUGCACGAAAGUGUGGGGAUCGAACAGGAUUAGAUACCCUGGUAGUCCGCACAGUAAACGAUGAAUACUUGUUUUCGGCGAUAUAAUGUCGGAGGCAAAGCGAAAGCGAUAAGUAUUCCACCUGGGGAGUACGCCGGCAACGGUGAAACUUAAAGGAAUUGACGGGG
This 392-nucleotide ribosomal RNA is filed under the name uncultured bacterium. Its description in RNAcentral is "partial 16S ribosomal RNA". It matches the Rfam family "Bacterial small subunit ribosomal RNA", at positions 523 to 918 of the family's 1533-position model. The record is from RNAcentral.